GACGAACCGAGCAAACGUUAUUCGGAAUCACUGGGCUUAAAGGGCGCGUAGGCGGGCAUGCAAGUCUGUGGUGAAAUCCGGCAGCUUAACUGUCGAACUGCCGUGGAUACUGGAUGUCUCGAGGGAGGUAGGGGCGUGCGGAACUAUUGGUGGAGCGGUGAAAUGCGUUGAUAUCAAUAGGAACUCCGGUGGCGAAGGCGGCACGCUGGACCUCUUCUGACGCUGAGGCGCGAAAGCCAGGGGAGCAAACGGG
This 253-nucleotide ribosomal RNA is filed under the name uncultured bacterium. RNAcentral's name for it is "partial 16S ribosomal RNA". It matches the Rfam family "Bacterial small subunit ribosomal RNA", at positions 524 to 776 of the family's 1533-position model. The record is from RNAcentral.